Molecule: long non-coding RNA, 1024 nt
Filed under: Coturnix japonica (Japanese quail)
Lineage: Eukaryota; Metazoa; Chordata; Aves; Galliformes; Phasianidae
Description: lncRNA (ENSCJPG00005002863.1)
Source: RNAcentral
UGAUAUCACCACAUCAGUGUGUGGGUCCUGCCCCUCUUGAAUUACCCUGAACCCUGUGGUGUUCUGGAGGUGGAGUGGGUGCCCCUUACUGAGCAUCCUGUGAUGCUCCCAGAAAACUGCCUGCAUUGGGUAGGACAGCCAUGGCCCUUCCAUCAUCUCCAGAUGACAUUCCCUUCACAUCUGCCUCCUCACCAAGAGAUGUCAAGGCCAGUGUGGUUCAGUAGUGCCUGCAGGAGCUUGUCUCAAGCAGGGAAAAAGCAAGUCUGGAUAGCCUCGUGCAGGGUACCAAGGGGCAGCACGUAUGGUUGGGGUUUGGACUAUGCCAAGAACAAGGGAUCUGCUAUGCAGGUGUGAUGUGUUUCUUUCCCAGCCAUGUGGAUUUGCAGCUUUGCUAAAGGGGAAAUCUGUGGUUGCUGCAGUGCUGAGUAAUUCCUAAAUCCCUUGAUGGAAGCUGCCCUGUAUUCAUGUGGCUACAGGAGAGCUGGUUUGUAUUUUAAGGAAUCAUUGUGGGUGAUGCAGCCACAUCCUCUUUUAAGUCAUGCAGGAAGUCAGCAAUUACUCUCAUGGAUUUCAACCUGAAGUGUGACAGUGCUUUGUGCAAAUGGGGUUUUGCUGGUGUCACACCCAGGCUACCACCAUCCAACCUGCUCCCCAGACCAUAGAAUCAAACAUAGAAUCAUGAAAUAUCCCGAGCUGGAAGGGAUCCAUAAGGAUCACUGAGUCCAAUUCUUGACUGAUCUCCUUCCUCAGCCAUGCUCAUUCCUGGUUAAUACUAGCUGGACUAAAUGCAAGCUGGUUUAAUUUGUAUCAAUCUGCCUCUGCCUCUAAAGUGGGGUCAAAAGCAGUACCAACAGAAACUGCGUGAUAAAACCCAGCCACCCUGACCACAGUUAGUUUUAUUUAAUUAGUUUGUAGGAGUGCUAUUUGUCAGUGUUAAUCUACCAUUGUCAUUGGAAGACAUUCGUGCAAACUCCUGUCAGUAGCUGGCCACAUGUGAAUAAAUGCCAUUGUGGAUGUUGAGUCA